UUUCUUUUAGCUUAAGGGUUAAAGCGUUAGUUUGAAGCACUAAAUAUAACUGUCAGUUAAAGAGGA
The sequence is a transfer RNA, 66 nucleotides long. It matches the Rfam family "tRNA". From Rfam's summary of the family: Transfer RNA (tRNA) molecules are approximately 80 nucleotides in length. Their secondary structure includes four short double-helical elements and three loops (D, anti-codon, and T loops). Further hydrogen bonds mediate the characteristic L-shaped molecular structure. tRNAs have two regions of fundamental functional importance: the anti-codon, which is responsible for specific mRNA codon recognition, and the 3' end, to which the tRNAs corresponding amino acid is attached (by aminoacyl-tRNA synthetases). tRNAs cope with the degeneracy of the genetic code in two manners: having more than one tRNA (with a specific anti-codon) for a particular amino acid; and 'wobble' base-pairing, i.e. permitting non-standard base-pairing at the 3rd anti-codon position.